GAUGAACGCUGGCGGCGUGCCUAAUACAUGCAAGUCGAGCGAACAGACGAGGAGCUUGCUCCUCUGACGUUAGCGGCGGACGGGUGAGUAACACGUGGAUAACCUACCUAUAAGACUGGGAUAACUUCGGGAAACCGGAGCUAAUACCGGAUAAUAUAUUGAAGCGCAUGGUUCAAUAGUGAAAGACGGUUUUGCUGUCACUUAUAGAUGGAUCCGCGCCGCAUUAGCUAGUUGGUAAGGUAACGGCUUACCAAGGCAACGAUGCGUAGCCGACCUGAGAGGGUGAUCGGCCACACUGGAACUGAGACACGGUCCAGACUCCUACGGGAGGCCGCGGUAGGGAAUCUUCCGCGAUGGGCGAAAGCUUGACGGAGCAACGCCGCGUGAGUGAUGAAGGUCUUCGGAUCGUAAAACUCUGUUAUUAGUGAAGAACAAAUGUGUAAGUAGCUAUGCACGUCUUGACGGUACCUAAUCAGAAAGCCACGGCUAACUACGUG
This 497-nucleotide ribosomal RNA is filed under the name uncultured bacterium. RNAcentral's name for it is "partial 16S ribosomal RNA". It matches the Rfam family "Bacterial small subunit ribosomal RNA", at positions 28 to 507 of the family's 1533-position model. The record is from RNAcentral.